This 132-nucleotide small RNA is filed under the name Pseudomonas cremoricolorata. Lineage: Bacteria; Pseudomonadati; Pseudomonadota; Gammaproteobacteria; Pseudomonadales; Pseudomonadaceae. The record is from RNAcentral.
UGUGUCUACGGACAGACACGGGCUCUUACGGACGAAGGCCAAGGACGUCGCGGGAUGCGACUCAUCAGGAUGAUGAACGGGAAUACAGGGAAAAUGGAGAAAAUGUGGGCGGGUAACUCCGCCCCUUUUUUU